RNAcentral lists this ribosomal RNA (423 nucleotides) under uncultured bacterium. RNAcentral's name for it is "bacterial SSU rRNA". It matches the Rfam family "Bacterial small subunit ribosomal RNA", at positions 506 to 927 of the family's 1533-position model. The record is from RNAcentral.
UGCCAGCAGCCGCGGUAAUACGUAGGUGGCGAGCGUUAUCCGGAUUCAUUGGGCGUAAAGAGCGCGUAGGUGGUCCUUCAAGUUAGAUGUUAAAUUUCCCGGCUUAACCGGGAACGGUCAUCUAAUACUGCUGGACUCGAGGAUGGUAGAGGGAGGUGGAAUUCCCGGUGUAGUGGUGAAAUGCGUAGAUAUCGGGAGGAACACCAGUGGCGAAAGCGGCCUCCUGGGCCAUUCCUGACACUGAGGCGCGAAAGCGUGGGGAGCGAACAGGAUCAGAUACCCUGGUAGUCCACGCCCUAAACUGUGGAAACUAGGUACAGGGAGUAUCGACCCUUCCUGCGCCGUAGCUAACGCGUUAAGUUUCCCGCCUGGGGACUACGGUCGCAAGACUAAAACUCAAAGGAAUUGACGGGGGCCCGCACA